GAUGAACGCUGGCGGCGUGCCUAAUACAUGCAAGUCGAGCGAACAGACGAGGAGCUUGCUCCUCUGACGUUAGCGGCGGACGGGUGAGUAACACGUGGAUAACCUACCUAUAAGACUGGGAUAACUUCGGGAAACCGGAGCUAAUACCGGAUAAUAUAUUGAACCGCAUGGUUCAAUAGUGAAAGACGGUUUUGCUGUCACUUAUAGAUGGAUCCGCGCCGCAUUAGCUAGUUGGUAAGGUAACGGCUUACCAAGGCAACGAUGCGUAGCCGACCUGAGAGGGUGAUCGGCCACACUGGAGCUGAGACACGGUCCAGACUCCUGCGGGAGGCAGCAGUAGGGAAUCUUCCGCAAUGGGCGAAAGCCUGACGGAGCAACGCCGCGUGAGUGAUGAAGGUCUUCGGAUCGUAAAACUCUGUUAUUAGGGAAGAACAAAUGUGUAAGUAACUAUGCACGUCUUGACGGUACCUAAUCAGAAAGCCACGGCUAACUACGUG
Molecule: ribosomal RNA, 497 nt
Filed under: uncultured bacterium
Lineage: Bacteria
Description: partial 16S ribosomal RNA
Rfam family: Bacterial small subunit ribosomal RNA
Source: RNAcentral